RNAcentral lists this ribosomal RNA (1558 nucleotides) under Extubocellulus spinifer. Its description in RNAcentral is "partial Bacterial large subunit ribosomal RNA". It matches the Rfam family "Bacterial large subunit ribosomal RNA", at positions 22 to 1667 of the family's 2925-position model. Lineage: Eukaryota; Bacillariophyta; Thalassiosirophyceae; Cymatosirales; Cymatosiraceae. The record is from RNAcentral.
CGGAGGAUGCCUUGGAUUCCAGAGGCGAUGAAGGACGCGUUAGGCUGCGAUAAGCCGUGGUGAGGUGCCUAAAAACCUUUGAUCCGCGGAUUUCCGAAUAGGACAACCUAUUAGAGCCCCUUCGGGGGAGGCGAACGAGGGGAACUGAAACAUCUAAGUACCCUUAGGAAAAGAAAUCAACAGAGAUUCCCCUAGUAGCGGCGAGCGAACGGGGAACAGCCCUUAAGCUGUAUUGAAUGUAGUGGAAUCCUUUGGGAAGAGGAGCGAUACAAGGUGAUAGCCCUGUACACGACGCAAUCUUUACAGUGAAAUCGAGUAGGUCGGGACACGUGUUAUCUUGACUGAAUAUGGGGGGACCAUCCUCCAAGGCUAAAUACUCCUAACUGACCGAUAGUGAACCAGUACCGUGAGGGAAAGGCGAAAAGAACCCCUGUGAGGGGAGUGAAAUAGAACCUGAAACCGUAUACGUACAAGCAGUGGGAGCCCUUCGGGGUGACUGCGUACCUUUUGUAUAAUGGGUCAGCGACUUAUAUUUAGUAGCAAGGUUAAGCGAAUAGCGGAGCCGUAGCGAAAGCGAGUGUUAACUGCGCGUUUAGUUGCUAGGUAUAGACCCGAAACCGAGUGAUCUAGCCAUGGGCAGGUUGAAGGUUGAGUAACAUCAACUGGAGGACCGAACCGACUAACUUUGAAAAGUUAGCGGAUGACUUGUGGCUGGGGGUGAAAGGCCAAUCAAACUCGGAGAUAGCUGGUUCUCCCCGAAAGCUAUUUAGGUAGCGCCUCGGACGAAUACCACAGGGGGUAGAGCACUGUUAAGGCUAGGGGGUCAUCCCGACUUACCAACCCUUUGCAAACUCCGAAUACCAAUGAGAACUAUCCGGGAGACACACGGCGGGUGCUAACGUCCGUCGUGGAGAGGGAAACAACCCAGACCGCCAGCUAAGGUCCCAAAAUAUUGCUAAGUGGGAAACGAUGUGGGAAGGCAUAGACAGCUAGGAGGUUGGCUUAGAAGCAGCCACCCUUUAAAGAAAGCGUAAUAGCUCACUAGUCGAGUCGGCCUGCGCGGAAGAUGUAACGGGGCUAAGCAAUAUACCGAAGCUGCGGCAGCAUAGUUUACUAUGCUGGGUAGGGGAGCGUUGUGUAAGUGGAUGAAGGUGAGUUGUAAAGCUUGCUGGACAUAUCACAAGUGCGAAUGCUGACAUGAGUAACGAUAAGGGGAGUGAAAAACUCCCCCGCCGGAAGACCAAGGUUUCCUGUCCCAUGCUAAUCAGGGCAGGGUAAGUCGGCCCCUAAGGCGAGGCAGAAAUGCGUAGUCGAUGGGAAACGGAUUAAUAUUUCCGUACUUAUAUAAUCAGUGAUGGAGGGACGGAGAAGGCUAGGCAAGCUUGGCGUUGGUUGUCCAAGUGAAAGCGAGUAGGCCGAGAAUUUAGGUAAAUCCGGAUUCUUAAAGCUGAGACGCGAGACGAGCUCCCAAGGGAGUGAAGUUGUUGAUGCCCUGCUUCCAGGAAAAGCUUCUAAACUUAUGAUUAUAUGAACCGUACCCCAAACCGACACAGGUGGU